CACCUAACACCCAUGGUACUAACUUAACAACUACAGUGAUUCACUUAAAAACCGUGACGUGAAAGGUCAUAAAUUGGGGCAAAACUCACUUAACCACUCUCGCUUGACAACAGAAAUCUUGGACUCAAUUGUAGUUGUAAGUGAAGGAUUACCUGUAUAUAAGACAGACAUCUAGCAACUAAUAUUCGGCUACCCUUCUAUCUCCAUAUGUCCCCAACUCUUUUCCCCUUGGUCUAUUUCAGGGGUGUCAAACUGCCGGCCCAUGGGCCGGGUGCGUUAUGGCAAAACCGCAAUACGUUGCAACACGCCACAUGAUGUUGCGAGUUUGACACCCCUGGUCUAUUUACUGAUACCUUAGCAAUAGCCAUGGUAAUACCCAUGCAGACUUCCAUCAGCUUUAUUACAGUGUAAAACCAGGUAACUCUUGGUGCUGCUGACAGGUGUUGUUUUUCAUAUUUCUUCACAGCUUUUGCCUGGACAAUGCCAAGUUCUUUACUUCAUCCUAAGAUGAAGUAAUGCAAUCAGAUUGUUUGCUGCCUCUUUAAUAAUGUAUCUUUAACAUACAGUUAACCUUUAUCUAAACAUCCACUUAAAGAUGAAAAUCACAAGAUUUGGUUUCUUUUUUUAAAAAUCUGUUUCUGUGCUAAAAAAUAGUCUUGCGUGAGCAGAUCUUCUGUUUAUCAAUAAUUGGUCCUUGUGGAAACAAUACUGUGUUCACACUGUCAACAGGGGGAUGAGGAGGGAGAUCACCUCUAAGCAUGUAAUUCAGGUUUUGUUCAGUUGAUUGCUGCUGCAAAUGUUUGCAGGGCCUUCCGAUACAUCUUCUAUUUAAACAGUAUCUUGUCAAAUAUUGGUGAGAACAAGACAUUUUUUCCAACAUUAGAGUCAAAUGUGGAAGAAGCAAAGCAUUUUAUUGACAAUCUUUGAGACGUGCUUGGAAGAUGAUCCAGACUCUACUCACCAUGAUGAAAUUCAAAGCCAGCAAAUUGUUUCUUCAACAUUGUCUUCACCAAUUCAAUUUUCAAAUUCCAUAUUUUAAAUAGAUUUUACUGGUAGUUUGUUUCAUGAGUAAGAUUUUGCAAGCAUAGGGUAUUGAUUGCAUCUUUUUUAAAACUGGAAAAGAAACAAAACAUUUCUUUGAAUUUCUUGGCAUUAUAUGAAUUAGAGUUCAUGCUCACCAACUGCUAUAUAAAGAAUUCCUUUAAAAGUUAAUAUCUCAGUUAAUGUGUAACUAUAAGGAUUUAUCUGACAGCUAUACUGUUUUUCAGAAAUGUCAAAGUGAGUGGAAUGUGAUUGCUGUUUAGCAAAAUAUUGUUUAUUCUGAGUGACAAAUGAAAAAAAAAUUACCAAGAAAGAAAAUUGUAGUAUUCAAACUUAAUUUCAACUUAACAUCCUACUUUUUCAGUAUACACCUAUUGAUUUUACAAGAGCUUGAGUAGUUCUCAAAUAUGAAUUGCCAUGCUUUAUUAUGACAAAUAUUCAGCUAUGACAAGCACUCAAGUUACAUAAAGUAGAUCUGGCUUUAAGAAUUCUACCUUGAGUUUAACAAUAUUUCACUAAUAUCUUUAUUUGUUGUAUAUCAGGGCAGAUAAACAAUGAAUGAAUAGUUCAUCUUGACCUUCAGUGUUAAACAUAUUACAGCAAAUUACUAUUUUGUCAUUAUACAAAUGCUAAUUUCUCUGAUUAAAACACUGCACGCACUCAGUUAUCAUUUUUGGAAGUACUGUACUGAUCAUGCAUGUAAGUAAUUACCAGAUCUCUAAUUAGAACACAAGGCAUAUGUUUUUCAGAACAAAAAAAAAAAA
Molecule: long non-coding RNA, 1805 nt
Organism: Crotalus tigris (Tiger rattlesnake)
Lineage: Eukaryota; Metazoa; Chordata; Lepidosauria; Squamata; Viperidae
Exons: 2
Source: RefSeq, a predicted model, not a curated record